UCUUAUUAAAAGCAUAAAAAAAAAACCCUAGCCCCUCCUCAUUCUCUCAAUCUGUUCGAUCAAAUCUGCUAAGUAUCCCUCCCCUCACCAACGCUGACCUCCAUUAACAUCUAUGGCCGACGGCAGCAGGCUAUCACAAACGACGACGGGUGAGCUCUUAUCCCCUCGACCCCGGCAAUCUGAUCUGCUAAGUGUGUUGCUAGUUAUCCCCUCUCCUAACCGCGUCGACAUCCGAUCCCAUCUACGGUCAACGGCGAAAACUACAUCAACUGACGGUGACUUGGGCGAGCUCCUCUCCCCUCGACCCGGCGAUUGCAAUAGCUCCGGCGCAGUUCCACUUGACUACGACGCAAAUCUUCAAUAUUAGCUAAUAUUUAGCUUAAUAUGCUUAAAAAUUAACUAAUGUUCACAUAAGAGAUUAUGGUUUAUAUAUGGAUUUCUUGCAGGUGGUGGAAGAAUGGUAUACAGAAGUGUUGUGGGGUACUCACACAUACAAAGACUAGGUUUGGGAUCCCCUGUAUUCCAGUGUCCUCUAAUGGCUUGAGUGUGAAUCAAGCUAGGGGUGGAGGAAACCAUUAUGGAUUUGAGAAAGGGAUAAGAGGAAGACGGAAGCGCAUCUGAGAUGACCUUGUAGAGAAGGUGAAGAAGCAGCAACCAAGGGAGACUUGCAAUAGUGAUAUCAUGACAAGGAAGGUUUUGGCUAUAUAUGAUAGGUAGCUGCAAGAUUAUAUUUCCCUUGCAUAUUGUCUGUGUUGCAAGUCCUCGAGCAGCACAAGUUUGAAAGGAUUCAGGAUUCAUUAUUUGCUUGCAUUUGAUGCGGUAGUCAUUUCCUUAGAGUUCCAAUCCUAGGCAAGGAAGAGUGGAAGACAUGUAGGGUGCAAAGAAAGAGUGGAACACCCUUAUGUAGUUGAAUUCAAAGAAGCAUGGGUGGAAAGGGUUGCUAUGUUUGCCUUGUUAUUAUUUUUCAUAUUUCCAAGGGUUCUCUACUGAUGAUGGGGGUUAAACAGAGGACAGCAUUUGCUUUAAAAUGCUUGCAUGAUCGUACUAACUUCUAGCCGUAGCUUUUAAUCGCAUAGCCUGGACUGCUCGUAGUAGCGGAAGCAGAACACCUCUUCAACAGUAGGCCGUCAACCAUCUUUGGCUCUGGCUCAUACUUGACUCAGAACCGCAGAUGGUGUACUUGGUAUUUCUGAGGAGUAUGAGUACCAUGUCUGUAGGCAUUAUAUGAUUGUAUGUCCUGCAUCCCAUCACUGCAGGCUUAUAUAGGCAUAAUGAUGGAUUGGACUAAACCCAGAUGUCCAAUCCAACAUAUAGCUUAAUGGGCCUAAUCCACUUGCACCACAUUAUUAAGGCUCACAAUAUAUAAUGUAUAUUGUAUUGGGAAAAGUCUUACAGUCUCCCACUUGGUGCAAGUACUAGCACAACUCUCAUCAAAGAACAAAACACACGAAUUAUAGCGAUAUGUCCUCUGCUCGACAGAGUAAUAUCUUCUAUGCAUCACAUGCAUUUUUAUUUCCCAACUUAAGUCCUUUAUGAAAAAACCUAAUGUUUA
Molecule: long non-coding RNA, 1552 nt
Organism: Ipomoea triloba (trilobed morning glory)
Lineage: Eukaryota; Viridiplantae; Streptophyta; Magnoliopsida; Solanales; Convolvulaceae
Exons: 6
Source: RefSeq, a predicted model, not a curated record